AGCAGAGAACGGAGUACUCGCCAUCAUGCGAUUCUUUGUGCCUUUGUACCUUGCCAUUUGCGGCGCUUUCUUCGCCCUCCGCUUUCGCGUGGCUUUGGUUUCAAUUUCUAAAUGUUGUCACCAACAAAAGUCGUCGGCCGCACAGUGGGCCAUCGAGUGGCGUAGCACGCCCAAAGUGCCAGGUGAAAUCGCACGUGCAUGCCCUACCUCAAAGCGAAAAGUGUGCAUAGAGCGAUUUUCGAAUGGAUAGUUAAUUGCAUCUUAUGAUGAAGGAAGUUUAAAGUUAUAGUUCAUUACUCAUUGAUAGAUAAGCCAAUUUGCUAUGAUUUUGCCUGAGAUACAACUUGAGAUAUUAAAACUAUCAAUAUUAGAAUAGCAUAUAAUAAUAAUAUUAAGUCAGUCAGUCAAUUGGAACUUGUUUAAGCCCCAACAUUUCACAAUACUAAGCAUUCCUAAUGUUUUAGAUGUAGUCUAUUUAAAUGAAAUUAGAACUAGAAC
This is a non-coding RNA of Drosophila melanogaster (fruit fly), 498 nucleotides long. Lineage: Eukaryota; Metazoa; Arthropoda; Insecta; Diptera; Drosophilidae. The record is from Ensembl.